RNAcentral lists this ribosomal RNA (163 nucleotides) under Melilotus albus. RNAcentral's name for it is "5.8S ribosomal RNA". It matches the Rfam family "5.8S ribosomal RNA". From Rfam's summary of the family: 5.8S ribosomal RNA (5.8S rRNA) is a component of the large subunit of the eukaryotic ribosome. It is transcribed by RNA polymerase I as part of the 45S precursor that also contains 18S and 28S rRNA. The record is from RNAcentral. RNAcentral also lists the same sequence under 25 other names. Lineage: Eukaryota; Viridiplantae; Streptophyta; Magnoliopsida; Fabales; Fabaceae.
AGAAUGACUCUCGGCAACGGAUAUCUAGGCUCUUGCAUCGAUGAAGAACGUAGCGAAAUGCGAUACUUGGUGUGAAUUGCAGAAUCCCGUGAACCAUCGAGUCUUUGAACGCAAGUUGCGCCCGAUGCCAUUAGGUUGAGGGCACGUCUGCCUGGGUGUCACA